Molecule: ribosomal RNA, 265 nt
Filed under: Paenibacillus sophorae
Lineage: Bacteria; Bacillati; Bacillota; Bacilli; Caryophanales; Paenibacillaceae
Description: 23S rRNA. Bacterial LSU
Rfam family: Bacterial large subunit ribosomal RNA
Source: RNAcentral
GCAGGAAAUUUGAGAGGAGCUGUCCUUAGUACGAGAGGACCGGGAUGGACGUACCGCUGGUGCACCAGUUGUUCCGCCAGGAGCAUGGCUGGGUAGCUACGUACGGACGGGAUAAGCGCUGAAAGCAUCUAAGCGUGAAGCCCCCCUCAAGAUGAGAUUUCCCAAGUUAGUAAGACCCCUUGAAGACGACGAGGUAGAUAGGUUGGAGGUGGAAGUGCAGCAAAGCAUGGAGCUGACCAAUACUAAUCGGUCGAGGGCUUAUCCA